GCACCGCCCCCUGCUGGGCGCCGGAGCCAAAUGUCACUAAAGGUCAUUAAAGGUCAUUGAAUGGGGAAAGGCCCGAGCCCCUCACGCGGCCGCGCGCGGGCUCCAGGAGGAAUUUUGGAUCUGCGGAGGAAUUUCUUCUCAGAAGAAGCGUGUUUCUGCUCAGAAUUCUGAGAAGAAUUUCUUCUCAGAAAGCGCGAUUGGGCUCUGAAAUGGGCUGCCCAGGGGGCUGGCAUCCGUCCCUUGGGAAAUCCACAGCAAAGUUAAGAUUUAACUUCAUGCUGCAGAGUCCUCCCACCGUGUGACACCUGCUGAUCUCUCCAGCCAACCUCCUUUCUCCUGCCGCUGGCCCCAGGGCAGCCCAGGGUGGGCACAGGGACACGGAACAGCUGCUGUUACAAAUGCCUGCUCUUGUGUUGAAAGCAGAGGGCAGCAUCCAGGACUCCCCCAUCUCCUGUCUGCAUCCAGAUGAAAGCAAUCCCCACCUCAUUCCAGGAGCCAGAAGUUUGCUGCAUGGUUUUUCCUCCUCCUGUGCCACCGUAGCUCUAAGUCAGCAGGAGCUGGGGUGGCUGCCAGGGAACAGCUUGUGGCCACAUUGCUUCAGCCUCAUUUCCUCCUGGGAGGAUCCAUGCUGUGACACGCUUCCCCAGCUCUCCUGGGUGGCACCAUAUGGUGGCCCCUUAAAUUGUAAUCUCUGUUCUUAACGUUCAUUUAAUUCAAAAUGCUUGAAAUAAACUGAGGCCUGGUAGCAGCCCUUCUGAGUGGCAUUUAGUGGCAGUACAGGGGGACUGUGCUGCGUGCUCGGCGGUGUGAGAACCUCUGUGGUGCAUGGUGAACUGGCUCUGUUCAUUUUGGAGGACAGCCUGGGGAGGAUGGUGCCACAGUCUGAUCUGUGCUGGUCACACAGCAGCCUCCAGGGCCCUGUCCUGCCUUCUUCCUGGUGGGAAGCAGUCAAUUAACUCCAGGUGAAAGCACACAAGUGGAUGAACAUAUUCAGAUGUGAAUGACAAGGGACCAGAUCCUGAGACUGGGCUGAAGAAUUAGGUUAUCAAACAGAACAGAUGUAGUCUUAGUUCCUUUUCCAUAUUUAAAAUCUAAACCACCAGGUUCACUCCAGAUGCAUCCUCCCAUUCUAAAUAUGAAUAAAUACACUAUACUCUGUUUUAAACUGGCCAGCAGGAACAAUCUUUUCUCUCAUUAUUCUUUGUUUUAUGUUUCCAUUUAUUUAUCUUCUCCCAUUUUUCUUCCUGUCCUCCCCACUCUCAUUCAAUUUACUUAUCCAAGCAUUUUUUAAAUCAGUAUUCCUCUCUUCCUUUUCUCAGGUCCACGUUGCUUCUCUGCAUUUCUCAUUGAAAAUGUCUCUAUUUUGAUCUAUGACUCCCAUCCCUUCUGACUACUUCCCAUUCAGUUCUAGUAGUUUCACCUUUAGACAGCAACACAGAUGGGGAAUAAAAAACUUAAUUGUACUGUCAAAAUCCUUCAGAUGAGUUGUAUCCUUUGGAGACACUGCAGUUUGGAAGAGAGGCAGUUUUCUAGGAUCUUCCAGAUGUUUUGCUUCUAGUAGGGAUAGAAAAAUUGAUUAAGAAAGUGUAUUUUCUGUUCGUCAUUCUGAUUGCUUUUCUGCAUUAUUAUUUGGGAAACACCAACCUCUUGAAGGAGAAGGAUGCCUGUUAACAAAGUUAUAAUGUCGUUUUUCAUGCUCAAAUUUUUUUAUUUUUUUAUGCCUCUGUGCUUCUCAUU
Long non-coding RNA from Passer domesticus (house sparrow), 1737 nucleotides. RefSeq lists it as uncharacterized. Lineage: Eukaryota; Metazoa; Chordata; Aves; Passeriformes; Passeridae. The transcript is spliced from 3 exons. The record is from RefSeq and is a predicted model, not a curated record.